UCCCGCUAUUUUUUAACAUGAAAUUGUUUGUGCCGUGGUCUACUUUAUUAAUUUUGCCUUCUAAUCGCGUUUAUAUUGAGUAAUAAUAUGAUAGAACUGCGCGUAACGUUUAUUAAAGGUCGUUAACAAGUGCAGCCGUUAAACCUCGAUAAGUUGCAUCGCCUUAAUGUGCGUACAACUCUUUUUAUUACUCCCUGUGGUGCUGCCGGCCAGAAGCGACUACCUGUGCGCUGUUCUCGUGGACUGUGUUUCUAUUGAGCCACCAAUCACAGUAUAUGGAUAAUGUAGAGGAAAAGGCUAUCGCUAUAUUUGCGUACACUGAGGGUUUUUGAAGCAUGUGAAACUGCAGCAACUCCAGUGCACAGCUAUUUAGCAACUGUCCGAUUGAUGGCAGCCAAGCUUAUCUGGUGCUCUGCUGUGCGCCUUUUCAAAUAGCAAAUCAAUAUCGCUGGUCAAGGAGAGUCUGGCCAAGCUGCAGAAAUCGGCAAGUCUUGAGGUGUUUCAGUACUGCAGAAACAUUGAACGGAAUCGCUUAAAAAGGUGAUCAAAGGGAUUAAAAGGCGUCUGAUCAAUGAUUAUAUGCUUCUCGCCAACACAUAUGAUAUGUGCAGUUUAAAGCCGAUGAUCUUAGCAACAAACUGAUCAACUGCCCUGUCUAUGGGUGAACCAUGAGCUGCUUCGCGCUCAAUACAAUUGACGAGCAACAUUUGCCAUCUCUUUGUGGUGUCGUUAAACCCGACAAUGGUUCUCAUGAAACCCAGUGGCUCAUGACGAUUGUUCUCAUGAAACCCAGUGGCUCAUGUUCAAUAUGUAAAUAUAUGACAUUUUCAGCAAUGAUUGGUCCUAUAUGCGCAAUCUGAGAACGCAGGCAGCAUAUAGGCGUCGUUGCCUAGCCCUAAAAAUGUGAUAGUAUGCCACUUUUCUGGCUAUUGUCAACCACGUGCUAUAUAUUGGUGCAAAAGGCUGUCGGCGGUAACGCCACAUUGUGACCACCACGUCCUGGUGGCCAUUGACAGUUGCAUCCAUGCGUGUGCUGGCUGUAAGAAAACGCUGAGGGAGUAAUGCAUGGUUUUACGAGCAAUAUGUGGAACAUGGAGAAAUAUAAAUUAUAACGAAUUCAGUUUCUAAAAUUCAAAUCAAUUUGGAAAUAGGAUCAACGCAUGUUCGUGGCAUUAUUCUAUCAAAGGAUUGGCGAAUACUUUUUGAGCUUCGAAUGUGUAGAUGGCAAACAUGGCCACAUUACAGAUGAGUAGGAAGGU
This 1259-nucleotide small RNA is filed under the name Drosophila virilis. RNAcentral describes it as "GJ27093". The record is from RNAcentral. Lineage: Eukaryota; Metazoa; Arthropoda; Insecta; Diptera; Drosophilidae.